GGGACACGUGGUAUCCUGUCUGAAUAUGGGGGGACCAUCCUCCAAGGCUAAAUACUCCUGACUGACCGAUAGUGAACCAGUACCGUGAGGGAAAGGCGAAAAGAACCCCGGCGAGGGGAGUGAAAAAGAACCUGAAACCGUGUACGUACAAGCAGUGGGAGCCUCUUUAUGGGGUGACUGCGUACCUUUUGUAUAAUGGGUCAGCGACUUAUAUUCUGUAGCAAGGUUAACCGAAUAGGGGAGCCGAAGGGAAACCGAGUCUUAACUGGGCGUUAAGUUGCAGGGUAUAGACCCGAAACCCGGUGAUCUAGCCAUGGGCAGGUUGAAGGUUGGGUAACACUAACUGGAGGACCGAACCGACUAAUGUUGAAAAAUUAGCGGAUGACUUGUGGCUGGGGGUGAAAGGCCAAUCAAACCGGGAGAUAGCUGGUUCUCCCCGAAAGCUAUUUAGGUAGCGCCUCGUGAAUUCAUCUCCGGGGGUAGAGCACUGUUUCGGCAAGGGGGUCAUCCCGACUUACCAACCCGAUGCAAACUGCGAAUACCGGAGAAUGUUAUCACGGGAGACACACGGCGGGUGCUAACGUCCGUCGUGAAGAGGGAAACAACCCAGACCGCCAGCUAAGGUCCCAAAGUCAUGGUUAAGUGGGAAACGAUGUGGGAAGGCCCAGACAGCCAGGAUGUUGGCUUAGAAGCAGCCAUCAUUUAAAGAAAGCGUAAUAGCUCACUGGUCGAGUCGGCCUGCGCGGAAGAUGUAACGGGGCUAAACCAUGCACCGAAGCUGCGGCAGCGACACUAUGUGUUGUUGGGUAGGGGAGCGUUCUGUAAGCCUGUGAAGGUGUGCUGUGAGGCAUGCUGGAGGUAUCAGAAGUGCGAAUGCUGACAUAAGUAACGAUAAAGCGGGUGAAAAGCCCGCUCGCCGGAAGACCAAGGGUUCCUGUCCAACGUUAAUCGGGGCAGGGUGAGUCGACCCCUAAGGCGAGGCCGAAAGGCGUAGUCGAUGGGAAACAGGUUAAUAUUCCUGUACUUGGUGUUACUGCGAAGGGGGGACGGAGAAGGCUAUGUUGGCCGGGCGACGGUUGUCCCGGUUUAAGCGUGUAGGCUGGUUUUCCAGGCAAAUCCGGAAAAUCAAGGCUGAGGCGUGAUGACGAGGCACUACGGUGCUGAAGCAACAAAUGCCCUGCUUCCAGGAAAAGCCUCUAAGCAUCAGGUAACAUCAAAUCGUACCCCAAACCGACACAGGUGGUCAGGUAGAGAAUACCAAGGCGCUUGAGAGAACUCGGGUGAAGGAACUAGGCAAAAUGGUGCCGUAACUUCGGGAGAAGGCACGCUGAUAUGUAGGUGAAGCGACUUGCUCGUGGAGCUGAAAUCAGUCGAAGAUACCAGCUGGCUGCAACUGUUUAUUAAAAACACAGCACUGUGCAAACACGAAAGUGGACGUAUACGGUGUGACGCCUGCCCGGUGCCGGAAGGUUAAUUGAUGGGGUCAGCGCAAGCGAAGCUCUUGAUCGAAGCCCCGGUAAACGGCGGCCGUAACUAUAACGGUCCUAAGGUAGCGAAAUUCCUUGUCGGGUAAGUUCCGACCUGCACGAAUGGCGUAAUGAUGGCCAGGCUGUCUCCACCCGAGACUCAGUGAAAUUGAACUCGCUGUGAAGAUGCAGUGUACCCGCGGCAAGACGGAAAGACCCCGUGAACCUUUACUAUAGCUUGACACUGAACAUUGAGCCUUGAUGUGUAGGAUAGGUGGGAGGCUUUGAAGUGUGGACGCCAGUCUGCAUGGAGCCGACCUUGAAAUACCACCCUUUAAUGUUUGAUGUUCUAACGUGGACCCGUGAUCCGGGUUGCGGACAGUGUCUGGUGGGUAGUUUGACUGGGGCGGUCUCCUCCUAAAGAGUAACGGAGGAGCACGAAGGUUGGCUAAUCCUGGUCGGACAUCAGGAGGUUAGUGCAAUGGCAUAAGCCAGCUUGACUGCGAGCGUGACGGCGCGAGCAGGUGCGAAAGCAGGUCAUAGUGAUCCGGUGGUUCUGAAUGGAAGGGCCAUCGCUCAACGGAUAAAAGGUACUCCGGGGAUAACAGGCUGAUACCGCCCAAGAGUUCAUAUCGACGGCGGUGUUUGGCACCUCGAUGUCGGCUCAUCACAUCCUGGGGCUGAAGUAGGUCCCAAGGGUAUGGCUGUUCGCCAUUUAAAGUGGUACGCGAGCUGGGUUUAGAACGUCGUGAGACAGUUCGGUCCCUAUCUGCCGUGGGCGCUGGAGAACUGAGGGGGGCUGCUCCUAGUACGAGAGGACCGGAGUGGACGCAUCACUGGUGUUCGGGUUGUCAUGCCAAUGGCACUGCCCGGUAGCUAAAUGCGGAAGAGAUAAGUGCUGAAAGCAUCUAAGCACGAAACUUGCCCCGAGAUGAGUUCUCCCUGACUCCUUGAGAGUCCUGAAGGAACGUUGAAGACGACGACGUUGAUAGGCCGGGUGUGUAAGCGCAGCGAUGCGUUGAGCUAACCGGUACUAAUGAACCGUGAG
RNAcentral lists this ribosomal RNA (2514 nucleotides) under Escherichia coli. Its description in RNAcentral is "partial 23S ribosomal RNA". It matches the Rfam family "Bacterial large subunit ribosomal RNA", at positions 419 to 2915 of the family's 2925-position model. Lineage: Bacteria; Pseudomonadati; Pseudomonadota; Gammaproteobacteria; Enterobacterales; Enterobacteriaceae. The record is from RNAcentral. RNAcentral also lists the same sequence under 1 other name.